Molecule: long non-coding RNA, 973 nt
Organism: Rhipicephalus microplus (southern cattle tick)
Lineage: Eukaryota; Metazoa; Arthropoda; Arachnida; Ixodida; Ixodidae
Source: RefSeq, a predicted model, not a curated record
AGCCCAGGGUGUGAUCAGAACGCUUUCUGGGCCGACCGCCUGGCGUUAGCGAGGAGGCAUUCAUGACUAACCGGGAGAAAACCGCCAGUUCGCUGCAUGCGGCUUGGCCGACUGGGCACGCCAGAAGAAGUAGCUCGCUGCAUCGCCUUCCUGGCGUCCGACGAUGCGGCAUUUGUCACGGGCAUCACGAUGCCUAUUGAUGGCGGCUCGCUACUUCUGUCCAGCGUCUCGGGCGCCGCCCAAGGGAAGGGUGCCCAGAAUACUGCAUGAGCUGCCAAGGACGUAGCCUUGAAUGGCAUUUACCAUGUACCUAGGCUCUCUGCUAAAACAAAGGCAGCAGAGUGGUGACAUUCCUUCUCACGCCAAUAUUUUCUAUCUCUUAAUUACACCAUCUUAAUUCAAACUCAUCCAAAAGCGCAUUCACGUGGUUUCCCCUCAAAGUCACUAUACAAAUAGAACUUUCACGCAAGGCACUCACUUUUGGAACAAGGAGGUAUUCACUAAAAGUUAACUUGUGAAUAAGUACAUCAUAUAAUACAGUCUUGAGAACAGCGGUACCAACAGUCAGCACUUUCAACAUAAGAAAGAAUUAAAUUUUGACGUGGCUGUAGAACACGUGUCGCCUUGAUUAGUUGUGUGGUUCUGUACGGAACAAGAGUCCAACAUUCUUUCCUUACCCUUAUUUUUCGCAGUACCUCCACCACGUCAGCUUCACAUAGCGUUGCUGUCGCAUGUAGCCGCUUGAAGGCUCCCGAGCUUGUUACAAGUAUUAGGGGCGAAGCUCCUUAACGUGGCUGUAGAGCACGUGUCGCCUUGAUUAAUUGUGUGGUUCUGUACAGAGCAAGAGUCCAACAUUCUUUCCUUACCCUUAUUUUUUGCGGUGCCUCCACCACGUCAGCUUCACAUAGCGUUGCUGUCGCAUGUAGCCGCUUGAAGGCUCCCGAGCUUGUUACAAGUUUUAGGGGCGAAGCUC